GAUUAGGUAUUAUUUAGAAGGAGCAAACAAAACAGUAUAUUUCUUGAUUAAAUGGGAUAUUUUUGUUUGCCUUUUCUAAUUCUAUUUUUCUAUUUUGUUUUAGUAGACGUAGCUAUAUUAAAAUUUUCUGUCUUAGUUGUUAUCCAUAUUAGAAUAUUGUUUUAAUUAAUAUGCAAGAAUGUGAAGAGAAGAAAAAGCCUGAAAAGUCAAGUCAAUAGAACUGAUAUAUGAGAAAAGCUAGAAUAUUGUGUUGCUUGCCCAACUUUUACUUUUCCAACCAUAUAAAUCUCUUGUUUCUCAAACAAGCUGCUGCAUCAACCAUUUCCCAUGUCUGUGAAGAAGCCUCUUUCUUGAAAGAAAGAGGCUGUGAAAAAGGAUGAUGGGAGGAAACCUUCAAAACGCAGGCGUUUCCCCUUCAGGGAGAUAUCUAUAGAGCCUCGAGGUUCAUCCCUGACAGACGUGGACUCAAAUGACUUGAAAGCAAAGAUUGUGAGAUGGGCCAAAGCUGUUGUUGCUUAUGCCCGCCAAGUCAGUGGAAAAUUCGGAAGCUCGAGAAGUAGUCGUAAGUCUGGAGGUGAAAACUCUCCCAGAGCAUAACUCUUUAAGCCUAAAGUUUGAGAUACCAUAGUUUCUGAAGAACAAAAUACCAAAAGCCACAGAAUGAAUUACAGCAGAAAUAAUUUAAAAUGUCCUUGAGGAAACACUCAAUUUACAAGAAGAUGAGGAAACUCAAGACAGAAUCCUCUAUAAAAUAGAUACAUCACUGUCAUACAAGAUUCAUAAUUCUCCAGCAUCAGCUUCUGGUCAAUGACUAUACCUGUAAAUGUUGAUCUUCACUCCA
Mangifera indica (mango) is the source of this 841-nucleotide long non-coding RNA. RefSeq lists it as uncharacterized. Lineage: Eukaryota; Viridiplantae; Streptophyta; Magnoliopsida; Sapindales; Anacardiaceae. The transcript has 2 exons. The record is from RefSeq and is a predicted model, not a curated record.